AUGCCUGCAUGCUCCAUCAAAGGAAAAGGUUCCCCAGGCCAGACCUCCCAUGAGGCUGAACUGCCAGCAGAAUGCAUCAUCGCAGGUGAGGAGCGAAGGGGACACCAGCUGUGCUGCAUUCAUAAUCAGAGGCCCUGGUAUAAAAGGAGGAUGGAGACACCACUCGACUCCGGAUGAUUGCUACAGUUUUGGUUAGCUCCAGCCACUCGUAUUUACUUGUUAGCUUGUUUGACUUCUCGUGUUUGGAUUAUUGGAUUUGUUGACCUUGGACUGUUCUCUCGGAUUACGACUUUGGAUUUCCCUCUGAACCCCUGUCUGCUUGCCCUGUUUAGGAUUACCAUCAUCUCCUUCACCUACUCUGCCGAAAACCCCGGAUCUUCAGGACCACGUCCCAUCCUCCUCCACGGCUCCUGCUUCCUGCUCCUCUCCUCUCCGCUUCCUCACCAUCCCGCUCUGCUGGACCGCUGCCCUCGCUCACCUCGGCUCAUCACCUGCUCCGCUGCUCGCUGAGCUUGAACUCUGGACUAACGCCUUACGGCACCCUACUCACUGGACUUCCAGUGCACCUUUAGUUCCCAUUCUCCAAAUAAAGGCUUUAUUUUUACUUACCUUCUGAGUCCCGUGUUGAUUCUGCAUGUCUUGGGUUAGACACCUCCCGCAUGUCAUGACAAGCCGCUUGUAUCAGCGAUCUCGUUCUGUCGGUCACUACCCAAAGCUCAUGACCAUUGAUGAGGGUAGGAAUGUAGAUUGACCGGAAAAUCGAGAGCUUUGCUUAACGGCUCAGCAUGCUCGCAUCACUGCAGGUGCAGCACCUUUAUGUUACUAGUUAUUUUCACUAGCAGUUAGUAUAAUUAGUUAGGUCACUAGGCAGAACUGGGAUCAUUAUUACGUUUUUGCUCACAAUGCUUCUUGGAUCCAUUCACUUAAACUGUGUUUUAUGCUAAGCUAGAAUGAAAGGAGCACUGGACUGGUUAAAUGUUUUUCUUUUCCCACGUAUCUAAUGCUGGGAAAUAUGUCAACAGACACAAUUUCAAUUUUGGGUGGAAUAUUCCUUUAAGGCUGACAUGUAUUUUCAAGUAAGUGAUACAUAGUAUGCCAUCAUAAGAUUAUCAAAAUUGCACCUUAGAUACUUUUAGUUUCUGAGAAGUAUUUUUUGCGACCACAUCUGCUUUAGUCUGAAGCAACCGAUGAUUAAAAAGUCCAACCUCUCCUUGAA
This 1216-nucleotide long non-coding RNA is filed under the name Nothobranchius furzeri (turquoise killifish). RNAcentral's name for it is "lncRNA (ENSNFUG00015000501.1)". Lineage: Eukaryota; Metazoa; Chordata; Actinopteri; Cyprinodontiformes; Nothobranchiidae. The record is from RNAcentral.